AAUAUCAUCAAUGAAGAUCACCAUCGAAGAUCAACUCUGAAGAUCAACACAGAAGAUCAACACUGAAGAUCACCAUCGAAGAUCAACACUGAAAAUUAAAUCUGAAGAUCAACUCUGGAGAUCACCACCGAAAAUCAACACUGAAGAUCAACUCUGAAUAUCAUCAAUGAAGAUCACUAUCGAAGAUCACCACCGAAGAUCCACACUGAAGAUCAUCACUGAAGAUCACCACCGAAGAUCAGCAUUGAAGAUCAACUCUGAAGAUCAUCAAUGAAGAUCACCAUCGAAGAUCCACACUGAAGAUCACCACCGAAGAUCAGCAUUGAAGAUCAACUCUGAAGAUCAUCAAUGAAGAUAAUCAAUGAAGAUCAACACUGAAGAUCACCACCGAAGAUCCACACUGAAGAUCGCCACCGAAGAUCACGACCGAAAAUCAACUCUGAAGAUCAACUCUGAAGAUCAUCACUGAAGAUCAACACUGAAAAUCAACUCUGAAGAUCAACUCUGAAGAUCAUCACUGAAGAUCAACACUGAAAAUCAACUCUGAAGAUCAUCAAUGAAGAUCAUCACCGAAGAUCACCAUUGAAGAUCAUCACCGAAGAUCACCACCGAAGAUCCACACUGAAGAUCACCACCGAAGAUCAACACUGAAGAUCACCAUCGAAGAUCACCACCGAAGAUCCACACUGAAGAUCGCCACCGAAGAUCACGACCGAAAAUCAACUCUGAAGAUCAACUCUGAAGAUCAUCACUGAAGAUCAACACUGAAAAUCAACUCUGAAGAUCAUCAAUGAAGAUCAUCACCGAAGAUCACCAUUGAAGAUCAUCACCGAAGAUCACCACCGAAGAUCCACACUGAAGAUCACCACCGAAGAUCAACACUGAAGAUCAACUCUGAAUAUCAUUAAUGAAGAUCAACUCUGAAGAUCACCAUCUAGGAACCGUUAUAACCAUCACAGUUCCAGUAGAAAACACCAUAGCCGUGAUAAACAUAAUUCUCAUAGCGCAAGGAGACCUCAUUACCAUGAGCUGAUACAAAUUCUUUAUGACUUUAGCGAAUACAUGAGGCCGAUAGUAAUCGAUCCGAUGAUGACAAUUCGCGCUUCGAUGCCACUCGUCCGUGGAAGGGUAUUACCAAUGGACCUGAACGACUUCUUUGACUGAUAUAUUUAUAAGUAGCAUUGAGCAUGAUUGCUACUUGGUUGGUGAUCGCUUAGCCUCUAGAGCUUCGUCCGUACCACAAACUGUACUGGCAUAGGUUUUCUCUGUGGUUUCCCUAUGCCGCUACACCUACAUCGCAAGGCGAGGUCGUAGAGCAUCAUCAUAAUGAUGCAGUACAAUAAGUAUAAGUCGGGCCACAGCCGCAUAAAAAGGGUAAAAAAGCUUAGAGUAUAAAAAGGAAAGAGCUUAGAACGAUAGAAGAUAAAAAUUGUAAAAAAAACUGUAAAAAUUGUACAAUUAAAGCACAAUAAAUUAUGCCUUUAAUCUUGAAAAUGUUUUUAAAAGCAUGCCUAAGUUUUAUAAAUAUUUAUAAGCCAUUGGAAGACUUUUGUGUUAUGGAAUGUGAUUUAAGGUCAUCAUAAAUCUUUGAAAGUUUUGUUUAAAUUCAAAUACAGUAAAUAAAUAAAAGAAAAAGGAUUUUGUGGAAAAAAAAAAAAAAUAGUAUUUUUGAUGGACAUUUAAACAAUUUUAUUUGUAGUUUGAAAUAAUUUAAUGUUUACAAAAAAAUUCGAUUUAUAAAAUAUAUAAAAGAUUCACUGUGAUUUUGGUGACCUGAUAAAUGAUUAAAUGGCCAUCGGCUUUUAAUAUUCUGAAAAAUAUAAAAUUUGUAUUAAUGGAUUUGCGUAAAUUUAAAUUUGGUGGGUGGUUUUCAUUCAUUAGCAAUACUUGGGAAUAUGUAUCUAUUUUGUAAUACUGUUUAAAAAAUAUAUCCA
This is a long non-coding RNA of Microplitis mediator, 1934 nucleotides long. RefSeq lists it as uncharacterized. The transcript has 3 exons. The record is from RefSeq and is a predicted model, not a curated record. Lineage: Eukaryota; Metazoa; Arthropoda; Insecta; Hymenoptera; Braconidae.